Long non-coding RNA from Epinephelus fuscoguttatus (brown-marbled grouper), 624 nucleotides. RefSeq lists it as uncharacterized. The transcript has 3 exons. NCBI's taxonomy places the organism in Eukaryota, Metazoa, Chordata, Actinopteri, Perciformes, Serranidae. The record is from RefSeq and is a predicted model, not a curated record.
GAAGAGGAGUGAUGAGGAACAGAAGAAGAAGAAGAAGAAGAGCAGGUGCAUUAAUUCAGAAGUGAAGGCCUGGAUGCACAGCUGACUCUCUGGAUCACUGUGACACUGAAGAAAACAUGAAGAGUCUCUGUGAAGUUCUGCAGUUACAAGGGAAACUAAUGAUGUGGAUCCAGACUUAAUAUCCUGUACAGGGCCUCUGAGGCUCCCACACUCCGUCGCAGUUUGCCGCCUGGAAUCCACAGUCGUCAGGCAGAUUGGUAGAAAUAAAUCCCACGUUUAUUCAUUUACUGGAGCGACUCUAACACUCCCAAACACCUUGGAGCCAGCACUCUCACAUCUGAGGAACAAAGUCAAACACUCAUCUCCCUCCUGCUUUCACCUCCACGGCAGGAAGUUAAGAGCUUACCUCCAUCAGCCUGCAAAGACUGUGAACACCAGGAGGAGGUGUCUCUGCCUUUCACUGGUCUCUGCUCAUCACUCUCACUGUGAUCAGUUUCAUUGAAAAAACACGUCUACAUGUGCAGUGACAACACAACCCUACAGCACCUGUCUCAGCACGGUCACACUUUAAGUGUUUUUAUACUCUGACUCUAAGGCAACGAGCAAACUGUCAAAUAUCUUAAA